UUAGUUAUGACAUCAAAGCCUAAAUGAU
Molecule: non-coding RNA, 28 nt
Filed under: Mus musculus (house mouse)
Lineage: Eukaryota; Metazoa; Chordata; Mammalia; Rodentia; Muridae
Source: RNAcentral